UACGUAGGGCGCGAGCGUUGUCCGGAAUUACUGGGCGUAAAGAGCUCGUAGGUGGUUUGUCGCGUUGUUCGUGAAAACUCACAGCUCAACUGUGGGCGUGCGGGCGAUACGGGCAGACUUGAGUACUGCAGGGGAGACUGGAAUUCCUGGUGUAGCGGUGGAAUGCGCAGAUAUCAGGAGGAACACCGGUGGCGAAGGCGGGUCUCUGGGCAGUAACUGACGCUGAGGAGCGAAAGCGUGGGGAGCGAACAGG
RNAcentral lists this ribosomal RNA (253 nucleotides) under uncultured bacterium. RNAcentral's name for it is "partial 16S ribosomal RNA". It matches the Rfam family "Bacterial small subunit ribosomal RNA", at positions 524 to 776 of the family's 1533-position model. The record is from RNAcentral.